AUUGAACGCUGGCGGCAGGCCUAACACAUGCAAGUCGAGCGGAUGAAGGGAGCUUGCUCCUGGAUUCAGCGGCGGACGGGUGAGUAAUGCCUAGGAAUCUGCCUGGUAGUGGGGGAUAACGUCCGGAAACGGGCGCUAAUACCGCAUACGUCCUGAGGGAGAAGGUGGGGGAUCUUCGGACCUCACGCUAUCAGAUGAGCCUAGGUCGGAUUAGCUAGUUGGUGGGGUAAAGGCCUACCAAGGCGACGAUCCGUAACUGGUCUGAGAGGAUGAUCGGUCACACUGGAACUGAGACACGGUCCAGACUCCUACGGGAGGCAGCAGUGGGGAAUAUUGGACAAUGGGCGAAAGCCUGAUCAGCCAUGCCGCGUGUGUGAAGAAGGUCUUCGGAUUGUAAAGCACUUUAAGUUGGGAGGAAGGGCAGUAAGUUAAUACCUUGCUGUUUUGACGUUACCAACAGAAUAAGCACCGGCUAACUUCGUG
RNAcentral lists this ribosomal RNA (483 nucleotides) under uncultured bacterium. RNAcentral describes it as "partial 16S ribosomal RNA". It matches the Rfam family "Bacterial small subunit ribosomal RNA", at positions 30 to 507 of the family's 1533-position model. The record is from RNAcentral.